Molecule: non-coding RNA, 267 nt
Organism: Pocillopora verrucosa
Lineage: Eukaryota; Metazoa; Cnidaria; Anthozoa; Scleractinia; Pocilloporidae
Source: RefSeq, a predicted model, not a curated record
UCUGUUUCUUUUGUUUCUAGGCUUCUUAUUCAAGACCUUUGCCAUUACAUGUAGUACAAACUGACUCAAGCAGUGUUUCCAUGUCAGUAGGAAAAGGAAAGAGAAGAAAAAGGAGAAUGUCCCCUGGCUGCAGUAACCAGGAUCCUAAACAACCCCAAGUUGCAUCUGGGGACUUAGCAGGAAAAGGAAAGAGGAGAAAAAGGAGAAUGUCCCCUGGCUGCAGUAACCAGGAUCCUAAACAAACAAAAGUUGCAUCUGGGGUCUUAG